Molecule: long non-coding RNA, 1144 nt
Organism: Hirundo rustica (Barn swallow)
Lineage: Eukaryota; Metazoa; Chordata; Aves; Passeriformes; Hirundinidae
Exons: 4
Source: RefSeq, a predicted model, not a curated record
AGUGAAGGGAGAGACAAACACUGAACGGGCAAAUACUGGAAUUUGAACCUAAAACAUCUUCAGAAAGUUACCCUGGCACAGCAUCCUGAAGUUCAGGAGUGGAGAGGGAGAGAGAGAGAUGAUGUCCUGUGGCUGAAUCAACGAGUUGCAUAAUCUGGGAUAACCAGCAUCAGGGAAGCUGUCUGAGGAUGGAUUGUCCUCUGAGGCUGAUGUUGUGAAGCUUGACUGUUACACAUUAGUCAUUGCUCAACAGUUUCACAAAUAAUUUUCAGUAGCCCAAGAAGGGCUCUAAUCAGGUUCAGUGGAAAUCUUUCCACAGAUUUUGCCUCUCUGCAAAGAUAAGGUCCUUGAAUCAUACACUACUAGCUGGCAAUUCUCAGAAGGAAGAAGCUGAAUUAGUUUUUCUAGUUCUUGCAGUCAGCAGAGUGGAAACAUUUUUUGUCAUCUUCUUUGUACCUUGAGAUGGGAAAGAUAUCCAGAACCACGACGUCUCUCUGAAGGUGCUGUAAAAUCAAGGUCACCAGGCUCAUAUGGUCUCCAUGAGAUGUCAAUCCCCGUGCAGGAUGAUCCACCAGCAGCUGGCGGCUAUAUGACUCUUGUUUGAGCAAUUGACCAGAUGUCAUGGACAGUGCCUCAUUGUGCCUCACUGCCAGUUGUGAAGACAGUCUACAUCGUGCCACUGCUUUGAUGAGCUGGUUACUAGGCCACUGCUGCUAAAGGUUUCCAAGAAGCAGAUUCUGUUCAGCCAUGAAGCAAACUGAUAAUGAGUCUUAAGAAACCUUUUCCUUGUCCUACUUGUUACCUUUGACAUGUAAAAGAUUAAACUGUCAUUUGUAAACUGAUUGUCAAACAGUUCUGAGCAAACUUUGCCCGUGGAAAUCUUAAAGAUGAUUUAUGCCAUUGUUGCUUGUGUGUCAUGCAGUAGAAAGAGACUACAUUGCUAUUUAUUUUAUUUAUGCUGCUUAGUUUCAGAGAGGGAAAUGAGAAAAAGCAUUCAUUGGAAUUUCUUAUUCAAGCUCUCUGCGAGCCUCAAAGUGUUCUGAGAGGAAUCAAUACGUAAAACUAUAUGCUUAUUUCAGUUUUGUAUACUAAAAAGUUUAUUCUGCCUGUAAAAAUGUGGUUAGACUGGCCAAACCUUUUCAAA